This 243-nucleotide ribosomal RNA is filed under the name uncultured bacterium. RNAcentral describes it as "partial 16S ribosomal RNA". It matches the Rfam family "Bacterial small subunit ribosomal RNA", at positions 57 to 305 of the family's 1533-position model. The record is from RNAcentral.
GCAAGUCGAGCGAGAAAGCACUUCGGUGUGAGUAUAGCGGCGGACGGGUGAGUAACGCGUAGGAAUCUACCUAGUAGUGGGGGACAACCUGGUGAAAACCAGGCUAAUACCGCAUACGCCCUACGGGGGAAAGCGGGGGACCUUCGGGCCUCGUGCUAUUAGAUGAGCCUGCGUAAGAUUAGCUAGUUGGUGGGGUAAAGGCCUACCAAGUCUACGAUCUAUAGCUGGUUUUAGAGGAUGAUC